UCUGGCAGUGAACGAGGGCAAAACGAAAUAUCUCCUGUCAUCAAACAAACAGUCGUCGCACUCGCGACUUGGCUCUCACAUCACUGUUGACAGUCAUAACUUUGAAGUCGUAGAUAAUUUCGUCUAUCUUGGAACCAGCGUAAACACCACCAACAAUGUCAGCCUAGAAAUCCAACGCAGGAUAACUCUUGCCAACAGGUGCUACUUCGGACUGAGUAGGCAAUUGAGAAGCAAAGUCCUCUCUCGACAAACAAAAACCAAACUCUAUAAGUCACUCAUAAUUCCCGUCCUGCUAUAUGGUGCAGAGUCUUGGACGAUGUCAACAACGGAUGAGUCGACGUUGCGAGUUUUCGAGAGAAAAGUUCUGCGAACGAUUUAUGGUCCUUUGCGCGUUGGCCACGGCGAAUAUCGCAUUCGAUGGAACGAUGAGCUGUACGAGAUAUACGACGACAUUGACAUAGUUCAGCGAAUUAAAAGACAGCGGCUUCGCUGGCUAGGUCAUGUUGUCCGGAUGGAUGAAAACACUCCAGCUCUGAAAGUAUUCGACGCAGUACCCGCCGGGGGAAGCAGAGGAAGACCUCCACUCCGUUGGAAGGACCAAGUGGAGAAGGACCUGGCUUCGCUUGGAAUAUCCAAUUGGCGCCACGCAGCGAAAAGAAGAAACGACUGGCGCGCUGUUGUUAACUCGGCUAUAAUCGCGUAAGCGGUGUCUACGCCAAUUAAGAAGAAGAAGAAGAC
Long non-coding RNA from Bactrocera neohumeralis, 738 nucleotides. RefSeq lists it as uncharacterized. The transcript has 2 exons. The record is from RefSeq and is a predicted model, not a curated record. NCBI's taxonomy places the organism in Eukaryota, Metazoa, Arthropoda, Insecta, Diptera, Tephritidae.